This 131-nucleotide small RNA is filed under the name Marmota monax (woodchuck). Lineage: Eukaryota; Metazoa; Chordata; Mammalia; Rodentia; Sciuridae. The record is from RNAcentral.
GCUAAGCGUGGUGGUGCACGCCUGUAAUCCCAGCAGCUCAGGAGGCUGAGGCAGGAGGAUUGCUAGUUCAAAGCCAACCUCAAAGCCAGCCUCAGCAACAGCGUAAACAACUCAGUGAGACCCUGUCUCUA